AGGGCUAGAAGAGGUGCGUUAAUCAGGUAGUAAACGUGAGGAGAACAAACUCCAGAGACCGUUUAUGAGGGGAAUUAACGCCGAGAAUGCGCAUUGUUUGUCUCAAUGUUAUUUCGGGCGCCUGGGCUGAAUCCCAGCGACUGUCACCAAUAACAGCUAAGCUGUUGUAAUUUUGGUGGAGAGCUUCUGGUCUU
Molecule: non-coding RNA, 194 nt
Filed under: Pseudoalteromonas tunicata
Lineage: Bacteria; Pseudomonadati; Pseudomonadota; Gammaproteobacteria; Alteromonadales; Pseudoalteromonadaceae
Description: Lysine sequence
Rfam family: Lysine riboswitch aptamer
About the family: Riboswitches are metabolite binding domains within certain messenger RNAs that serve as precision sensors for their corresponding targets. Allosteric rearrangement of mRNA structure is mediated by ligand binding, and this results in modulation of gene expression. This family includes riboswitches that sense lysine in a number of genes involved in lysine metabolism, including lysC.
Source: RNAcentral